UACGUAGGUGGCAAGCGUUGUCCGGAUUUAUUGGGUGUAAAGGGCGUGUAGGCGGGAGCGCAAGUCAGAUGUGAAAACUCAGGGCUCAACCCUGAGCCUGCAUUUGAAACUGUGUUUCUUGAGUGCUGGAGAGGCAAUCGGAAUUCCGUGUGUAGCGGUGAAAUGCGUAGAUAUACGGAGGAACACCAGUGGCGAAGGCGGAUUGCUGGACAGUAACUGACGCUGAGGCGCGAAAGCGUGGGGAGCAAACGGG
RNAcentral lists this ribosomal RNA (253 nucleotides) under uncultured bacterium. RNAcentral describes it as "partial 16S ribosomal RNA". It matches the Rfam family "Bacterial small subunit ribosomal RNA", at positions 524 to 776 of the family's 1533-position model. The record is from RNAcentral.